UUAAGCGACUAAGCGUACACGGUGGAUGCCCUGGCAGUCAGAGGCGAUGAAGGACGUGCUAAUCUGCGAUAAGCGUCGGUAAGGUGAUAUGAACCGUUAUAACCGGCGAUUUCCGAAUGGGGAAACCCAGUGUGAUUCGUCACACUAUCAUUAACUGAAUCCAUAGGUUAAUGAGGCGAACCGGGGGAACUGAAACAUCUAAGUACCCCGAGGAAAAGAAAUCAACCGAGAUUCCCCCAGUAGCGGCGAGCGAACGGGGAGCAGCCCAGAGCCUGAAUCAGUGUGUGUGUUAGUGGAAGCGUCUGGAAAGGCGCGCGAUACAGGGUGACAGCCCCGUACACAAAAAUGCACAUGCUGUGAGCUCGAUGAGUAGGGCGGGACACGUGGUAUCCUGUCUGAAUAUGGGGGGACCAUCCUCCAAGGCUAAAUACUCCUGACUGACCGAUAGUGAACCAGUACCGUGAGGGAAAGGCGAAAAGAACCCCGGCGAGGGGAGUGAAAAAGAACCUGAAACCGUGUACGUACAAGCAGUGGGAGCACGCUUAGGCGUGUGACUGCGUACCUUUUGUAUAAUGGGUCAGCGACUUAUAUUCUGUAGCAAGGUUAACCGAAUAGGGGAGCCGAAGGGAAACCGAGUCUUAACUGGGCGUUAAGUUGCAGGGUAUAGACCCGAAACCCGGUGAUCUAGCCAUGGGCAGGUUGAAGGUUGGGUAACACUAACUGGAGGACCGAACCGACUAAUGUUGAAAAAUUAGCGGAUGACUUGUGGCUGGGGGUGAAAGGCCAAUCAAACCGGGAGAUAGCUGGUUCUCCCCGAAAGCUAUUUAGGUAGCGCCUCGUGAAUUCAUCUCCGGGGGUAGAGCACUGUUUCGGCAAGGGGGUCAUCCCGACUUACCAACCCGAUGCAAACUGCGAAUACCGGAGAAUGUUAUCACGGGAGACACACGGCGGGUGCUAACGUCCGUCGUGAAGAGGGAAACAACCCAGACCGCCAGCUAAGGUCCCAAAGUCAUGGUUAAGUGGGAAACGAUGUGGGAAGGCCCAGACAGCCAGGAUGUUGGCUUAGAAGCAGCCAUCAUUUAAAGAAAGCGUAAUAGCUCACUGGUCGAGUCGGCCUGCGCGGAAGAUGUAACGGGGCUAAACCAUGCACCGAAGCUGCGGCAGCGACGCUNAUGCGUUGUUGGGUAGGGGAGCGUUCUGUAAGCCUGUGAAGGUGUACUGUGAGGUAUGCUGGAGGUAUCAGAAGUGCGAAUGCUGACAUAAGUAACGAUAAAGCGGGUGAAAAGCCCGCUCGCCGGAAGACCAAGGGUUCCUGUCCAACGUUAAUCGGGGCAGGGUGAGUCGACCCCUAAGGCGAGGCCGAAAGGCGUAGUCGAUGGGAAACAGGUUAAUAUUCCUGUACUUGGUGUUACUGCGAAGGGGGGACGGAGAAGGCUAUGUUGGCCGGGCGACGGUUGUCCCGGUUUAAGCGUGUAGGCUGGUUUUCCAGGCAAAUCCGGAAAAUCAAGGCUGAGGCGUGAUGACGAGGCACUACGGUGCUGAAGCAACAAAUGCCCUGCUUCCAGGAAAAGCCUCUAAGCAUCAGGUAACAUCAAAUCGUACCCCAAACCGACACAGGUGGUCAGGUAGAGAAUACCAAGGCGCUUGAGAGAACUCGGGUGAAGGAACUAGGCAAAAUGGUGCCGUAACUUCGGGAGAAGGCACGCUGAUAUGUAGGUGAAGUCCCUCGCGGAUGGAGCUGAAAUCAGUCGAAGAUACCAGCUGGCUGCAACUGUUUAUUAAAAACACAGCACUGUGCAAACACGAAAGUGGACGUAUACGGUGUGACGCCUGCCCGGUGCCGGAAGGUUAAUUGAUGGGGUCAGCGCAAGCGAAGCUCUUGAUCGAAGCCCCGGUAAACGGCGGCCGUAACUAUAACGGUCCUAAGGUAGCGAAAUUCCUUGUCGGGUAAGUUCCGACCUGCACGAAUGGCGUAAUGAUGGCCAGGCUGUCUCCACCCGAGACUCAGUGAAAUUGAACUCGCUGUGAAGAUGCAGUGUACCCGCGGCAAGACGGAAAGACCCCGUGAACCUUUACUAUAGCUUGACACUGAACAUUGAGCCUUGAUGUGUAGGAUAGGUGGGAGGCUUUGAAGUGUGGACGCCAGUCUGCAUGGAGCCGACCUUGAAAUACCACCCUUUAAUGUUUGAUGUUCUAACGUGGACCCGUAAUCCGGGUUGCGGACAGUGUCUGGUGGGUAGUUUGACUGGGGCGGUCUCCUCCUAAAGAGUAACGGAGGAGCACGAAGGUUGGCUAAUCCUGGUCGGACAUCAGGAGGUUAGUGCAAUGGCAUAAGCCAGCUUGACUGCGAGCGUGACGGCGCGAGCAGGUGCGAAAGCAGGUCAUAGUGAUCCGGUGGUUCUGAAUGGAAGGGCCAUCGCUCAACGGAUAAAAGGUACUCCGGGGAUAACAGGCUGAUACCGCCCAAGAGUUCAUAUCGACGGCGGUGUUUGGCACCUCGAUGUCGGCUCAUCACAUCCUGGGGCUGAAGUAGGUCCCAAGGGUAUGGCUGUUCGCCAUUUAAAGUGGUACGCGAGCUGGGUUUAGAACGUCGUGAGACAGUUCGGUCCCUAUCUGCCGUGGGCGCUGGAGAACUGAGGGGGGCUGCUCCUAGUACGAGAGGACCGGAGUGGACGCAUCACUGGUGUUCGGGUUGUCAUGCCAAUGGCACUGCCCGGUAGCUAAAUGCGGAAGAGAUAAGUGCUGAAAGCAUCUAAGCACGAAACUUGCCCCGAGAUGAGUUCUCCCUGACCCUUUAAGGGUCCUGAAGGAACGUUGAAGACGACGACGUUGAUAGGCCGGGUGUGUAAGCGCAGCGAUGCGUUGAGCUAACCGGUACUAAUGAACCGUGAGGCUUAACCUU
This 2902-nucleotide ribosomal RNA is filed under the name Escherichia coli. RNAcentral's name for it is "bacterial LSU rRNA". It matches the Rfam family "Bacterial large subunit ribosomal RNA". Lineage: Bacteria; Pseudomonadati; Pseudomonadota; Gammaproteobacteria; Enterobacterales; Enterobacteriaceae. The record is from RNAcentral.